This 493-nucleotide ribosomal RNA is filed under the name uncultured bacterium. Its description in RNAcentral is "partial 16S ribosomal RNA". It matches the Rfam family "Bacterial small subunit ribosomal RNA", at positions 29 to 523 of the family's 1533-position model. The record is from RNAcentral.
AUUGGACGCUGGCGGCAUGCUUUACACAUGCAAGUCGAACGGUAACAGGUUAAGCUGACGAGUGGCGAACGGGUGAGUAAUGCGUCGGAACGUGCCCGGUCGUGGGGGAUAACGCAGAGAAAGCUGCGCUAAUACCGCAUACGAUCUGAGGAUGAAAGCGGGGGACCGUAAGGCCUCGCGCGAUCGGAGCGGCCGAUGUCAGAUUAGGUAGUUGGUGGGGUAAAGGCUCACCAAGCCAACGAUCUGUAGCUGGUCUGAGAGGACGACCAGCCACACUGGGACUGAGACACGGCCCAGACUCCUACGGGAGGCAGCAGUGGGGAAUUUUGGACAAUGGGCGAAAGCCUGAUCCAGCAAUGCCGCGUGCAGGAAGAAGGCCUUCGGGUUGUAAACUGCUUUUGUACGGAGCGAAAAGGUCUCCUCUAAUACAGGGGGCUCAUGACGGUACCGUAAGAAUAAGCACCGGCUAACUACGUGCCAGCAGCCGCCGUAA